RNAcentral lists this ribosomal RNA (163 nucleotides) under uncultured bacterium. Its description in RNAcentral is "partial 16S rRNA". It matches the Rfam family "Bacterial small subunit ribosomal RNA", at positions 355 to 510 of the family's 1533-position model. The record is from RNAcentral.
UAGGGAAUCUUCCACAAUGGACGAAAGUCUGAUGGAGCAACGCCGCGUGAGUGAAGAAGGUUUUCGGAUCGUAAAGCUCUGUUGUUGGUGAAGGAGGAUAGAGGCAGUAACUGGUCUUUAUUUGACGGUAAUCAACCAGAAAGUCACGGCUAACUACGUGCAG